Molecule: non-coding RNA, 95 nt
Organism: Acanthosepion pharaonis
Lineage: Eukaryota; Metazoa; Mollusca; Cephalopoda; Sepiida; Sepiidae
Source: the annotation of a GenBank genome assembly
UUCAAACACCGCUCUCCAUACGAUUACCGAAGUUAAGCAACGUCGAGCCUGGUCAGUAACUAGAUGGGUGACCGCUUGGGAAUAUCAGCUCUUGU